UACAGAGGGGGCAAGCGUUAUUCGGAAUUAUUGGGCGUAAAGGGCGCGUAGGCGGCCUGGCAAGUGGAUGGUGAAAUCCCUCGGCUUAACCGAGGAACUGCCAUCCAGACUGCUUGGCUUGAGACCGGGAGAGGUGAGUGGAAUUCCCAGUGUAGCGGUGAAAUGCGCAGAUAUCGGGAAGAACACCCAUGGCGAAGGCAGCUCUCUGGGACGGUACUGACGCUGAGACGCGAAAGCGUGGGGAGCGAACAGG
Molecule: ribosomal RNA, 253 nt
Filed under: uncultured prokaryote
Description: partial 16S ribosomal RNA
Rfam family: Bacterial small subunit ribosomal RNA
Source: RNAcentral